This 1777-nucleotide unclassified non-coding RNA is filed under the name uncultured fungus. Its description in RNAcentral is "sequence contains 18S rRNA gene, ITS1, 5.8S rRNA gene, ITS2, 28S rRNA gene". The stretch from base 709 to 1777 matches the Rfam family "Eukaryotic large subunit ribosomal RNA", at positions 1 to 961 of the family's 3401-position model. Lineage: Eukaryota; Fungi. The record is from RNAcentral.
GGAAGGAUCAUUAACAAGAGAGAGGGCGGUGCUCCUAGUCGGGUGCUGCCAUCAUUUGCCCUUUCUGCCUCUGGGCAGGAGUGUGCACAUAUGGUAUGUAUGUAUGUAUGUAUGUACCUAUGAUUUACGCUUGGUUGUUUGCUUGUCCGUGGGAACAGAACACAUAAACAGCAAAAUACUUUUAACAACGGAUCUCUAGGCUCCCGCAACGAUGAAGAACGCAGUAAUGUGCGAAAAGUAGUGCGAUUUGCAUACGUCUGUGAGUCAUCAAGUCUUUGAACGCAAGUGGCACCGUCACGUCAAGUGGCGGUAUGCCUGUCUGAGCGCCGGAACUCUCCUCGCAUCCAGUUGGAUGUGGAUGUGGCCUCGUCCAGUGGGCCGAAUCUGGUGGGUGCAACUAUAUGGUGUGGCUAGCUGCUAGUCAAUGGCUAGUAGUCAAGUCAAGUAGUCGCAACUACCAGGUAUCUGGCACUGGGACCUGGCUUGAAAGUGUCAAGAUGCUGUGCCGUGGCAGGCAGUGUGAUAGUGAACCGUGGUUCCGCCUCGCUGUCUGGCACUGGUGCAAUGGGCAUCGAUUCGCCAUUAGUCGUCGUGGGUGCUGGUAGUAGGAGAGUGUGAAUGUAUGCAUCUAGUGUACAUGAGCAUUUGCUACCUAUCAGUAUCGGUCGACAGGGGCAACAGCUAGUAUAACUACUAGUACUACUAUUUUGGCCUCAGACAUGCAAGAGUACCCGCUGAACUUAAGCAUAUCAGUAAGCGGAGGAGAAGAAACUAACAAGGAUUCCCCCAGUAACGGCGAGUGAAGAGGGACCAGCUCAAAUUUGGAAUCAGCCAGGAAUGGCCGAAUUGUAGUCUGGAGAGGUGUCAUCAGUGUGUCCGGCUGCGUGCAAGUCCCCUGGAAUGGGGCAUCACAGAGGGUGAGAAUCCCGUUUGGAUGUGGCCGGACGUGCGGUACGAGGCACGCUCGAAGAGUCGAGUUGUUUGGGAAUGCAGCUCAAAGGGGGUGGUAAAUUCCAUCCAAGGCUAAAUAUGGGCGGGAGACCGAUAGCGAACAAGUACCGUGAGGGAAAGAUGAAAAGCACCUUGAAAAGGGAGUUAAACAGCGCGUGAAAUUGUUAAAAGGGAAACGAUUGGAGCCAGCAUUUCGUGCGCUUCUACUCUGGCUGGGGGUUGGGGGCAGAGCGUGAGCCUGUCUCUGGCAUUCCCGGCUGGGGGUUCGGCGCGUGAGAGUCAGGGCCGCUUCGGAAGUGCUUCAUAAGAGGUCGGGAAGGUAGCAAUGUCCUUGGACAGUGCACUUAUAGCCCGAUUGGAUGGGGUGUUCUGGAGGGGAGGAGAGGGCCUUGCGGGCUGGACGGCCGAGGCUCGUGUGAGUCUGGCGUGGGGCUGCGUGCAGACCGAUGCUGGGCCGUGGGAGUCGGCCGACUGAGCCCCGAGGGCCGAGCCUGACGGAAUGGCGUCAAACGACCCGUCUUGAAACACGGACCAAGGAGUCUAACAUGUAUGCGAGUGUUUGGGUGGCAAACCCGGACGCGCAAUGAAAGUGGAUAGUGGGAGCGCGAGUGUAUAGCUUGUGCGCACCAUGGACCGGUGGGUCUUCGGGCCAGAUCGAGUCGGAGCAUAAAUGUUGGGACCCGAAAGAUGGUGAACUAUGCCUGGGUAGGAUGAAGCCAGGGGAAACUCUGGUGGAGGUCCGCAGCCGUUCUGACGUGCAAAUCGAUGGUCGAAUCUGGGCAUAGGGGCGAAAGACUAAUCGAACCAUCUAGUAGCUGGUUCCCUC